This 1637-nucleotide long non-coding RNA is filed under the name Vulpes vulpes (red fox). RNAcentral's name for it is "lncRNA (ENSVVUG00000025841.1)". The record is from RNAcentral. Lineage: Eukaryota; Metazoa; Chordata; Mammalia; Carnivora; Canidae.
GUCAGGAUGCCCUUCCCUUCUAAGCUGAGUCCUGUUCCACGGUGCGCAUAGGCCACAUUUUGCUCGUCCAUUCAUCUGUGGAUGGACACGGGGACCGCUUUCGCGUUUUAGCUGUUGUGAGUCGCGCUGCUACAUACGUGGGUGUACAGAAACCCCUUCGAGAUCCUGCCUCAGCCCCUUUGGGAGUGUGCCCAGACGUGGGAUUGCUGGAUCAGGGUGCUGUGUGUUAGCUCAGUGGGGAAAGCCUUUGGAACGGGAACUGUGGUCCGCACAUUUGACAGAGCAGCGGCAAAUUGGGCGGCUCCGGGGUCAGGUGGCCUGCUUUAGUUCCCAGCUCUGCGGGUUCCUAACUGCGCUUUCUCAGGUGAGUCACUGCUCUGACGCUCAGUUUUGUCCUCUGUGAAAUGGCGAUAAAGAUAGUAUUGAUUCAUAGAGAGAAAAGAUGAAAUGAGUAAGAAGAGCGCCUGGCACACAGCACACACUCAGUAAAUAGCACCCGUGUGUUGUUUCAGGCAAAGUCGUCUGAUGAUCAUGCAUCUGACACCUCUCCCUACCCCCCAGCCCCGGGGGCGGGAUGUGUUGUAGCCAACGGGUGGCUGUGGGAGAUGCCUUCAUUCUCUCUCAGAACACAGCCAGGGGAAGCCCCAGGGCUGCGAGGCUGGAGUGUGGGGACCAGCCUGGGCCUUGGGAGCGGGAACAUAAUGCAGAACGAGGACAUACCUGACAAGACGUCACAUCCAUAUGGAGGGCACAGCGAUGCCCUUUGCUGUGUGACUUGGUACUUCUUCCCACCAAAGGGCGAAGGUGUAUUUCCCACCCCUUGACUUUGGGUGUGGCCAAGUGAUCUGCUUUGACUUUGUCCAAAUGAAUGAAGUGGAAGUGAUUCUGUGCUAUUUCUGUCCCUGGCCCUCAAGGGACCUUGUACUUUUCUGUACCCUUACCGUUGUGUGAGACAAGCAUGUCUUGGAUUGGCACCCACUGAUCCAAGGAGGUGGAGCAGCCAAGCCUGGCCUGGAUCAGCCAAGUGACAGAGGUGUCGAUGAUAAUAUGUGAUUUUUUUUUUUAAGAUUUUAUUUUUAAGCCAUCUCUACACCCAAUGUGGGUCUGGAACUUAUAGCCCUGAGGUCAAGACUGGCAUGUUCCACUGAAUGAGCCAGUUCUGCUUCGCAUGAGCAGCUGACACCACUUCUGUUUAUGUCUUAUCGGUCCAGGUAAGUCACACGGCUGGGCCAAACUUUUGGGGGUUGGGGUGGGAGUUGAAAAAAAUCCAUGUGAUUGUUGUUUUAAGCCACUGAGCUGAGGGGUUAUUUGUUAUGCAGCACAUUGGUGGCAGUAGCUAACUGAUAAAACCAGCUCUUGACAAGUGCUAUUAUUAAUUAACCUCAUUCAGGCAAAGAAACUGAAGCCCAAAGAGGUGAGAAGAGCUUCUUAACAUUAUAAUUAAUGUGUCCAAGCCCAGACAGGAACCUAGCUGACUUGACUCCAUUUGGCUUAUUGAUUCAGCACAUUUGGCUUAUUGAUUCAGCACAUUUUAAAAAAAGAUUUUAUGUAUUUAUUUGAGAGAGAGAGAGAGAGGGAGAAUGAGCAGGGGGGAGGGGUAGAGGGAGAAGGAGAAGCGGACUGCUUGCUGAGCAGGG